This 79-nucleotide transfer RNA is filed under the name Candidatus Bathyarchaeota archaeon. Its description in RNAcentral is "tRNA-Arg". It matches the Rfam family "tRNA". Rfam says of the family: Transfer RNA (tRNA) molecules are approximately 80 nucleotides in length. Their secondary structure includes four short double-helical elements and three loops (D, anti-codon, and T loops). Lineage: Archaea; Thermoproteati; Candidatus Bathyarchaeota. The record is from RNAcentral.
GGGCCCGUGGUCUAGACUGGAUUAGGACGCUGGCCUGCGGAGCCGGAGGUCCUGGGUUCAAAUCCCAGCGGGCCCGCCA